AGAGUUUGAUCCUGGCUCAGAGCGAACGCUGGCGGCAGGCUUAACACAUGCAAGUCGAGCGGGCGUAGCAAUACGUCAGCGGCAGACGGGUGAGUAACACGUGGGAACGUACCUUUUGGUUCGGAACAACACAGGGAAACUUGUGCUAAUACCGGAUAAGCCCUUACGGGGAAAGAUUUAUCGCCGAAAGAUCGGCCCGCGUCUGAUUGGCUAGUUGGUGAGGUAAUGGCUCACCAAGGCGACGAUCAGUAGCUGGUCUGAGAGGAUGAUCAGCCACAUUGGGACUGAGACACGGCCCAAACUCCUACGGGAGGCAGCAGUGGGGAAUAUUGGACAAUGGGGGCAACCCUGAUCCAGCCAUGCCGCGUGAGUGAUGAAGGCCCUAGGGUUGUAAAGCUCUUUUGUGCGGGAAGAUAAUGACGUACCGCAAGAAU
RNAcentral lists this ribosomal RNA (434 nucleotides) under uncultured Bradyrhizobium sp. RNAcentral describes it as "bacterial SSU rRNA". It matches the Rfam family "Bacterial small subunit ribosomal RNA", at positions 8 to 487 of the family's 1533-position model. Lineage: Bacteria; Pseudomonadati; Pseudomonadota; Alphaproteobacteria; Hyphomicrobiales; Nitrobacteraceae. The record is from RNAcentral.